CACAACAUAUCAAAAAGAAAAACAAACCUCCAGUCCUAUCAAUCUUUUCUCAUUUAUAAUAAUAAAAAAGGGGGGAAUUGUGAAUAAAUUAAAAUUUACCAAGUAAUUAAAACCCGAUCGCCUCGGCGCGGUCAUGCUCAAUGACCGAAACCCACGCUUCGGUAGGAAACUGACCAUACGAUAGAUAAGACACCUUUACAGGC
RNAcentral lists this long non-coding RNA (203 nucleotides) under Mytilus galloprovincialis (Mediterranean mussel). The record is from RNAcentral. Lineage: Eukaryota; Metazoa; Mollusca; Bivalvia; Mytilida; Mytilidae.